UCAUAUUUGCAGACUUUGAUGGCCAAAAGAUGUGUCCUGUAUUCCUGAUGGAGCCUCUCCAAUGUUUUCUGUGAAGGCAAAGGACUUCAAGGAAAACCUGUGCUGAAGCUGGCUAGCUUUUAAAAAAGUUGUGUUAUGAAGGUGCUGACGAAAAAAAGUACUCUGGGAUUCUUCAAAGUAAUGCAAAGUACCAUUUCUGGGAGGAAUCGCAGAGUGCAUGACUGGAAAAAAACACAUCUGAAGAAACAGUUCACAUGCUAAAAAAUAAGCCUCACAAACUACAAAAUGUGCCAUAACUUUGAUGAGAAUUCAUUAAAACCAUGUGUUUGCCUCAGUUUCCCUCUGGAACACCUUACAAAACACAGACUUGCAGCUGACUCCAAAAAUGCAGGCACGUACCAGAGCCAUGUUGUUCAGUAGGUUUAUUUAUCUUAGGUUCAGCUGAUUUGUUGCAGAAAUAUGCUAGACCCUUAAUCCCAGUAGGAAAUUGAAACUCUGAGAAAGACAAAGUCUGGCUGACCCCCCGCAAGAACAAGCAGCAAAUCCUGCUGAGAAGUAGCAGUAGCAAAAACAGAGGGAAUUACCAGAGAGUUUUGUCUUGGAGGAUGACAACUGUUUAAAAAAUGCAAUGACUGAAGGAGUAAUUCUUCUACACCCUCCCACUUUGUCUGUAUUAAGCAUGUAACAAAUGGUGAAUUGAAAUCUAUACUGGUAAUAGUGUCAAUGAGGGAUCAGGAUUAUACAUGAUACUUCCUCAAUUUGUUAUGCCUCAUUAGCAUUGUGGCUUAUUGCAGGGAACGACACAGUUCUCAGGCAUUCCCUCAUGGCCUGUCCUGAUGGAUAAUAGAAAUAAAAAGAGGCAAGGUACUGGUGACACACUGCUCUCAUGACAUUUAUCAGGGGCAUAGUUAUCUGGGUUAGGGAUGCUUCCUGUUCUCCGUCAGAGUGCCAUAUUGAUUGGAAUUAAUAGUCCUGCUUGCUUGGUACUUUUUCAAGGAGCACCCCAUGUGGAAGGGGCCCUGGUGCUAAUGAAUACACAAGUUUAUACUCUGAAAAAAUAUUUAUAAUGCUAUGAGAAAAGCAACAAGCAUGGUUCUUUGCAUCAGACAUGCAAACUCCCCUCUGUUUAAGCUGUUCCCACUGACCUGGUUUCAUUAGAGAUAAAAUUCUGCUGGCAUGUGAAUUAAA
Molecule: long non-coding RNA, 1188 nt
Organism: Corvus hawaiiensis (hawaiian crow)
Lineage: Eukaryota; Metazoa; Chordata; Aves; Passeriformes; Corvidae
Exons: 3
Source: RefSeq, a predicted model, not a curated record